RNAcentral lists this ribosomal RNA (497 nucleotides) under uncultured bacterium. Its description in RNAcentral is "partial 16S ribosomal RNA". It matches the Rfam family "Bacterial small subunit ribosomal RNA", at positions 28 to 507 of the family's 1533-position model. The record is from RNAcentral.
GAUGAACGCUGGCGGCGUGCCUAAUACAUGCAAGUCGAGCGAACGGACGAGAAGUUUGCUCCUCUGAUGUUAUCGCCGGACGGGUGAGUAACACGUGGAUAACCUACCUAUAAGACUGGGAUAACUUCGGGAAACCGGAUCUUAUACCGGAUAAUAUUUUGAACUUGAUGGUUCAAAAGUUAAAUUAGGUCUUUCUGACACUAAUAGAUGGACACGCGCUGCAUUAGCUAGUUGGUAAGGUAACUGCUUAGCAAGGCAACGAUGCAUAGCCGACCUGAGAGGGUGGACCGACAGACGGGAACUGAGACACAGUCCAGACUCCUACGGGAGGCAACAGUAGGGACUCUUCCGCAAUGGGCGAAAGCCUGACGGAGCAACGCCGCGGGAGUGAUGAAGGUCUACGGAUCGUAAAACUCUGUUAUUAGUGAAGAACAUAUGUGUAAGUAACUGUGCUCAUCUUGACGGUACCGAAUCAGAAAGCCACGGCUAACUACGUG